AGUUGAUAGCUUAGUGGUAGAGUGCAUGCUUUGUAUGUAUAAUGUCAUGGGUUCGGUUGCCGUUGCAAAUG
Non-coding RNA from Dallia pectoralis (Alaska blackfish), 71 nucleotides. The record is from the annotation of a GenBank genome assembly. Lineage: Eukaryota; Metazoa; Chordata; Actinopteri; Esociformes; Umbridae.